GAUUAAAGGGACUGUUAAUGGAUGUGUUGAAAAUCAUGAAGAACUUAGACUGAGUAAAUGAGAACCAGUUCCCUGCUGCUGCAGAACUGUUAGGAACUGGAAGGCACAGAUUUAAGACGCUGACUACAACAGACUGUUUACUAAGAUACCAUUGGAGAAGACCCCAGUGAUGCUGAAGACCUACACAGGUGAAAAGGUGACCCCCAAAGGCAAACUGAAAGUGAAGGUGAUGUAGACAUGCAGUAGAUAGCAUUCCGACUGUUGCACCACCAUCAGGUACAGAGCUGCAGGAUUGAAAGAGGCUACAGAGGGUUGUAGACUUAACUAGUCCAUUGUCGGCACAACCCUUCCCACCACUAAAGAGAUCUUCAAAAACUGAGGCCUCAAGAAGAUGGCAUCCAUCAUUAUGAACUCUCACCGUCCAGGACAUGCUCUCUUUGCAUUAAUACCAUUGGGAAGGAGGUACAGGAGUUUGAAGACACACACUCAGUAUUUUUGGAACAUCUUCUUCCUCUGCAUUAUCAGAUUUCUGAAUGGUUCAUGAAUACUACAUCGCUAUUCCUCUUUUGUAGUAUUUAUUUAUUCAUUGUAACUUACAGUAAUUAUGUUUUGCACUGUACAGCUGUCACAAAGCAAAAACAUUUAUAACAAGCAGUAUGUUGGUGAUAAUAAAUUUGAUUCUGAUUCUGAUUAUUCUAAGCAAUUAAUCUUCAACUAGUUAACAAAAUCAUCCAAGGUUACUAUUUCAAACAAUGCAAUGAAUGCAGCUA
Mobula hypostoma (lesser devil ray) is the source of this 770-nucleotide long non-coding RNA. RefSeq lists it as uncharacterized. The transcript has 3 exons. Lineage: Eukaryota; Metazoa; Chordata; Chondrichthyes; Myliobatiformes; Myliobatidae. The record is from RefSeq and is a predicted model, not a curated record.